GAUGAAGAACGUAGCGAAAUGCGAUAAGUAAUGUGAAUUGCAGAAUUCAGUGAAUCAUCGAAUCUUUGAACGCACAUUGCGCCCCCCGGUAUUCUGGCGGGCAUGCCUGUUCGAGCGUCAUUUCAACCAUCAAGCCCUGUUUAGGCUUGUGUUGGGGCCCUGCGGCUGCCGCAGCCCCCUAAAUGCAGUGGCGGGCUCGUUGUCACUCCGAGCGCAGUAGCGUAUCUCGCUCUGGGCGUGGCGGCGGGUGCUAGCCGUGAAACACCCACUAAGGUUGACCUCGGAUCAGGUAGGAAUACCCGCUGAACUUAAGCAUAUCAAUAAGCGGAGGA
Molecule: unclassified non-coding RNA, 332 nt
Filed under: soil metagenome
Description: partial contains 5.8S ribosomal RNA, internal transcribed spacer 2, and large subunit ribosomal RNA
Rfam family: 5.8S ribosomal RNA (bases 1-120)
Source: RNAcentral